Molecule: transfer RNA, 76 nt
Filed under: Candidatus Kuenenbacteria bacterium CG08_land_8_20_14_0_20_37_23
Lineage: Bacteria; Candidatus Kueneniibacteriota
Also listed under: 1 other name
Description: tRNA-Lys
Rfam family: tRNA
About the family: Transfer RNA (tRNA) molecules are approximately 80 nucleotides in length.
Source: RNAcentral
GCGCCCAUAGCUCAGCUGGUAGAGCGGCUCCCUUUUAAGGAGAAGGUCAUAGGUUCGAAUCCUAUUGGGCGUACCA